RNAcentral lists this long non-coding RNA (1192 nucleotides) under Sus scrofa (pig). RNAcentral describes it as "lncRNA (ENSSSCG00070005012.1)". The record is from RNAcentral. Lineage: Eukaryota; Metazoa; Chordata; Mammalia; Artiodactyla; Suidae.
AGGAUGUACAGUUGUUGAAAUGUCACCUUUAAGACGUGGGUAUUGAUUUACAGUUUGCAUUCCUAAGUACAGAGGAUACUGGACUAGCAGGGGAAAAAAAAAUCCAAUUUCUGCAUCUCAGUGAAGGAGAAGGCUAAGUCAUGUUUGGUAUCAUCUGUCAGAAGACUGUGGAAAAAAAAAAAAAAGAAGACUGUGGGUUGUGUGUGUGUGUGUGUGUGUGUGUGAGCACACACGUGCUAAUUCAGGAGUUUCGCAUUGAAUGACUUCCUUGAUGUGGUCUCUCUUUGGAAACUACAUCAGAAUACUUUAGAAGGUUGAGAAGUUUGCCUGCGGGAAGACGCCCUGAAGAGAAAAUGUUCAUAGACCUACACAGACCAGAGGGCUCAGGCCACCGGUGCCGUGCUGCUUCCGCUGAAUGGGUCAAAGAGAAGGCACGUCUUUCCUUUGGCAAAUCAGAUUGCAUUGUUUGAAGUCAUCUUUUUCCUUCUGUGAUUAUAAACAACACGAUUCUAUGUUGUCAGGUCAAUCUUGAAUUGGCCAAAUACCACCUUUUAUAAUAAAUGAUUUCAACAAGUUGUGCGAGGACAACACAGCCUGAGUGCCGAAGAUGAAAUGAUUUGUGAAGAACUUGGGUUAAAGGUCGAGAAGCAGAGCUGUGCUCUUCACAAGUUCAUGGAUCGGAGACCUCUUGGCGCGCCCUCGGGGAAGGGUACUUGAGCAGGAACACUAAGUGGAAAAGAACCUUCCUCAGGAAGGGCCCUCUGGGUCACUGAUGGCCAUUUCCAGGAGCAUCAAGACGUAAGCACCUCCCAUCCAGUGGGGAAAUUCGAACCCAUUAUCUCUUGCCCCGGAGGCGGUCCUGACCGGCAUGGAAGGAGACCCCGAUUUAGGCGAACGGCUGUUCUUCCUUGACGACAGAAGGGUAAACAGGCCUCCAGUUGGCCCUCAGCGAACCGAUCCUCGGAAAGGUCAUUUUCACCGAUUCCCUCACUGGGCACGGCGAGGAAAACACGCAUCCUUACUCCCCAGCCCUGCCCAGCUCCACCUAUACACUACAAAAUUUACGAGCAACCCAGAAAGAUCCUUCAGCAAUAAUUCCUACAUGGGCUCAACUUCUAGGUGCAGCCAGCUUUCCUUUAGACGUGCAGGGCCUCUGUGGACACCGUGGAUGGCAUGGGCAUACAAGAACUGA